AUUAUACUCCCUCCGUCCGAAAAUACUUGUCAUCAAAAUGGACAAAAAGGGAUGUAUCUAAAACUAAAAUACAUCUAGAUACAUCCCUUUUAUCCAUUUUGACUCCAUUUUGAUGAUAAGUAUUUCCGAACGGAGGGAGUAUAUA
This is a non-coding RNA of Triticum urartu, 145 nucleotides long. The record is from Rfam. NCBI's taxonomy places the organism in Eukaryota, Viridiplantae, Streptophyta, Magnoliopsida, Poales, Poaceae.